CUACGGGGGGCACCAGUGAGGAAUAUUGGACAAUGGAGGCAACUCUGAUCCAGCCAUGCCGCGUGCAGGAAGACGGCCCUACGGGUUGUAAACUGCUUUUAUACAGGAAGAAACGCCGCUACGUGUAGCGGUUUGACGGUACUGUACGAAUAAGGAUCGGCUAACUCCGUGCCAGCAGCCGCGGUAAUACGGAGGAUCCAAGCGUUAUCCGGAAUCAUUGGGUUUAAAGGGUCCGUAGGCGGUUUUUUAAGUCAGAGGUGAAAUCCUGCAGCUCAACUGUAGCAUUGCCUUUGAUACUGAAAGACUUGGGUUAUUGUGAAGUAGUUAGAAUGUGUAGUGUAGCGGUGAAAUGCAUAGAUAUUACACAGAAUACCGAUUGCGAAGGCAGAUUACUAACAAUAUACUGACGCUGAGGGACGAAAGCGUGGGUAGCGAACAGGAUUAGAUACCCGCGUAGUC
This 459-nucleotide ribosomal RNA is filed under the name uncultured bacterium. RNAcentral's name for it is "partial 16S ribosomal RNA". It matches the Rfam family "Bacterial small subunit ribosomal RNA", at positions 339 to 795 of the family's 1533-position model. The record is from RNAcentral.